CGUUUGGAUCGCGGGAUAAGCGGGGAUAACGAAAGUUAUCCCCGCUAUUCCGCCAAACGGAGUGAAAUUUGGCCGGGAUAUUUUAUCCCGGUCAAACCUUGUUAUUCUCGGUUAUCCCGGAAUAGCAAGGGAUUAGCUAUUCCACCAUUUUGGUGGAAUAGUGUUAUUCCAAUGCUUAAUUUCAAACUUAAUUAAACUUAUAAAUUGAAUUAAACUAAAUUAUAUAAAUAUAAUAUGUUAUAUAUUAUAAUACAUUAUUUUUAUUAUAAAAUUAUUAAUUGUACUAUAUUAAUACAUAUUAUUUAUAUUUAAAUAUUAUAAUAAAAUUUAUAAAAAAUUAUAUUUAAAUAAUAUAAUAAAUUCUUUUUAUGAAAUUUAAAUUUAAGUAGAAUUUUUAAAAAAUUUAU
This 407-nucleotide long non-coding RNA is filed under the name Ananas comosus (pineapple). RNAcentral describes it as "long non-coding RNA (ACOM_LNC034596)". Lineage: Eukaryota; Viridiplantae; Streptophyta; Magnoliopsida; Poales; Bromeliaceae. The record is from RNAcentral.